GUUGCGCCCGAGGCCGUCAGGUCGAGGGCACGCCUGCCUGGGCGUCAC
RNAcentral lists this ribosomal RNA (48 nucleotides) under Eschscholzia californica (California poppy). RNAcentral describes it as "partial 5.8S ribosomal RNA". Lineage: Eukaryota; Viridiplantae; Streptophyta; Magnoliopsida; Ranunculales; Papaveraceae. The record is from RNAcentral.